UUGUGGUGCUGUUGUCAACCCCGAACGAAAGGGCGCUCAUGAAUGAGCUGAGCAUCGAGUUGUUCAGCCCAAUUAGCUAUGUGUCGUUUCACAGAUGUGAGUUUAUAUCAACAUCCCAAAUACAACAACAAUUGUGGAGGUGUGAGAGGUUUACGCUAACUUACAUUUUCCUGUGUAGACACAAAUGCUAACCAAAAGGGCUCACAAAUCACAGAAGAACAGAAAAAAGAGGAAUCAUCUGGACAUCUGGUGAGUAUCAAACAACUUCUUUUGAAUUAUUUGCAUGUUUGACAAAAACCAUAUCUGUAGCAUUCUCCCUAUGUUCCAAAAUAGAGUAGUUGUUUUCUUUUCUUUUAAAGAUGAGCUUACUAGUUCACAAAGUUGCUCCUUUUCCAAGCCUCCCCUCUCACAUCUUCACCAGGAGACAAAGAUGCCCCCUCCAACUCUUACUGCAACCUUAUUGCAACUAACUUAGGCCUACCCUUUGUCCAAACUGAAAUCCACUCAAUGCAGGUGGAUUUUGUUCCAACCACUAUCCUAGCUUCUCCAUGCUUCACAACGAAACACUCCUUUUGCCUAGAAAAAACAACAAUGAACAGUUACUAUGGAGUAUGGACUGACUUAAUUGAAUCAGUAAUACUUGGUAGCAGUCACCACUCACCAGUACUGGAUUGGUUUCAAAACAAGCCAAAAGCGUGGUGCUUAGUUAACUUAACCUGUAUAACUCUGUUGUUAAGUAGAAACAAUGUAUGUACUAGCCGCAACUUGUGCUCUGCUUUUCAUGUGAAGCUCAUAUUUGCUAAUUUUGCAGUAGUAGCAGCUUCAAGAACUUUGUGGUUCAGGCGAACCUUUGAGACAGGGUUGUAAUUCAGCGAGUGCACGCCGAACACUUCAUGUUGCAAUUUUUGAUUCAAUCAAGACCAACUUCAUGUCGCAAUCUUUGAUUCAGUCAAGACCAACUUCAUGUCGCAAUCUUUGAGAAAGUGUUGUAAUUCAGCAAGUGCACGCCAAACACUUGUAGUUACCAUUCUCAUCUUAUGAAUUCAACAUGUAAACCCCCUCUCUAAAUUUGCACUAUUUCCAGCAUUUGUUUCCUUAAUAGUUGUGGCAACUACCUCCCUUGGCCAAGUUGGAUCACUAUUUCUUCUUCAGAAGUAUACAUGUGGCUAAGUAUUUACG
RNAcentral lists this long non-coding RNA (1179 nucleotides) under Triticum aestivum (bread wheat). RNAcentral's name for it is "long non-coding RNA (TAES_LNC025823)". The record is from RNAcentral. Lineage: Eukaryota; Viridiplantae; Streptophyta; Magnoliopsida; Poales; Poaceae.